GCCAAGGCUGGGGAUGAGAUGGGAGUAGGAUCUCCCGACUCCUUAGGGUCACUCCUCAGGGUCACUCCUCGUCCUGGGGACCAGAUUCCAGGCUUCACAGGACCGGAGAAGGAGGAGCGCGUCCUCCCUUCCCAAAGCGCCAGCUCAUUUAGAUACAGGGAACAAAUUGCUGUUUUGGCCCCGGCGGCUCCUCUGGGCGCGGGCGGCAGCCGCGCUCGCUGGCAAAUCGUGGGAGGGAGGAGGAGCGGCGCUGGCAGGCAAGUCCGGGGGACCGUCGCAGCGCGGGAGGCCAAGAAAAGACGGCCGCCCCGGGCCCGGCUCCGCCCCGCCGGGAAGGGGCUCCCUGCAGCCGCCCCAGGGCAGCACCCCGCGCGGCGCCGCGCGGAGCUCUCCAGGACGAGCUGCGUGAGGCGCGGGGCUCGGCCUUCCUCGCUCUCCUGGUGCCAGGACCCGCACGCACAAGGCAGCUCCUGCUUGCGGAGACACCUCAUAGGAGCAGCUGGAUCCAUUUUCCAGAGCGUCAAGUUGAGGAUGAGAAAGUCUCGAGGGCCGGGCAGCUGUGCGCGCAGAACCCCCGCCCCAUCUGCUUUUAGAUUUCCCGGGUGCGGCUGGAGCCCCUCUAGAGCGCCGGCCUCCGCUGGCCGCAGGGCCUUCACCUGCGCCUGUCGCCCUGUCCCCUUGCCCACUGCAUUUUCCUCGGGGAGAGCAUCUUCCACAGCAUGCGUCCCCUGCCCCCCACGCCCCGAGCCCCCCUCCCAUUCCGCCGGGGGAGGAGAGGCUGCUAGGAGGCUCUCGGAGAGCCCCCGGGCUGCAGAGAAAGACGCCUCCCCUCUGCGGCUGAGGCCGAGUGAGCCAAAGGGGGCCGGCCGCUCGCCAGUGGUUCUCCGAGGUACGGGCGGGGAGGCCCGCGGGGUGGGAUCAGGGCGGCCGCCACCUCCCCGCCCCCGCCGAGGUCCCGAAGGGAGGGGAGCCCUCCGCGGGAGGCCUGUCCCUUUAAGGAGGCGGCCCUGGCUGGGUGUGCCCCGUCUCCAUGGUUACCCCGGUGCAGGCGGC
RNAcentral lists this long non-coding RNA (1053 nucleotides) under Homo sapiens (human). RNAcentral describes it as "non-protein coding lnc-KCNH3-2:1". Lineage: Eukaryota; Metazoa; Chordata; Mammalia; Primates; Hominidae. The record is from RNAcentral.